GACGAACGCUGGCGGCGUGCUUAACACAUGCAAGUCGAACGGAAAGGCCCUGCUUUUGUGGGGUGCUCGAGUGGCGAACGGGUGAGUAACACGUGAGUAACCUGCCCUUGACUUUGGGAUAACUUCAGGAAACUGGGGCUAAUACCGGAUAGGAGCUCCUGCUGCAUGGUGGGGGUUGGAAAGUUUCGGCGGUUGGGGAUGGACUCGCGGCUUAUCAGCUUGUUGGUGGGGUAGUGGCUUACCAAGGCUUUGACGGGUAGCCGGCCUGAGAGGGUGACCGGCCACAUUGGGACUGAGAUACGGCCCAGACUCCUACGGGAGGCAGCAGUGGGGAAUAUUGGACAAUGGGCGGAAGCCUGAUGCAGCAACGCCGCGUGCGGGAUGACGGCCUUCGGGUUGUAAACCGCUUUCGCCUGGGACGAAGCGUGAGUGACGGUAAUGGGUAAAGAAGCACCGGCUAACUACGUG
Molecule: ribosomal RNA, 468 nt
Filed under: uncultured bacterium
Lineage: Bacteria
Description: partial 16S ribosomal RNA
Rfam family: Bacterial small subunit ribosomal RNA
Source: RNAcentral